Molecule: ribosomal RNA, 138 nt
Filed under: Meriones unguiculatus (Mongolian gerbil)
Lineage: Eukaryota; Metazoa; Chordata; Mammalia; Rodentia; Muridae
Source: RNAcentral
CAUUACAGCCAUACCACCCUGAACGGGCCCAAUCUUGUCUGAUCUCGGAAGCUAAGCAGGGUUGGGCCUGGUUAGUUAAAAAAAAAAGAAAAGAAAAAGAAAGUCAUUAAAAAAGAACUCUGAAACCUGGCCUGGUGG